ACGAACGCUGGCGGCGUGCUUAACACAUGCAAGUCGAACGGAAAGGCCCUGCUUUUGUGGGGUGCUCGAGUGGCGAACGGGUGAGUAAUACGUGAGUAACCUGCCCUUGACUUUGGGAUAACUUCAGGAAACUGGGGCUAAUACCGGAUAGGAGCUCCUGCUGCAUGGUGGGGGUUGGAAAGUUUCGGCGGUUGGGGAUGGACUCGCGGCUUAUCAGCUUGUUGGUGGGGUAGUGGCUUACCAAGGCUUUGACGGGUAGCCGGCCUGAGAGGGUGACCGGCCACAUUGGGACUGAGAUACGGCCCAGACUCCUACGGGAGGCAGCAGUGGGGAAUAUUGCACAAUGGGCGGAAGCCUGAUGCAGCAACGCCGCGUGCGGGAUGACGGCCUUCGGGUUGUAAACCGCUUUCGCCUGUGACGAAGCGUGAGUGACGGUAAUGGGUAAAGAAGCACCGGCUAACUACGUG
This 467-nucleotide ribosomal RNA is filed under the name uncultured bacterium. Its description in RNAcentral is "partial 16S ribosomal RNA". It matches the Rfam family "Bacterial small subunit ribosomal RNA", at positions 29 to 507 of the family's 1533-position model. The record is from RNAcentral.